RNAcentral lists this ribosomal RNA (585 nucleotides) under Schwanniomyces pseudopolymorphus. Its description in RNAcentral is "eukaryotic LSU rRNA". It matches the Rfam family "Eukaryotic large subunit ribosomal RNA", at positions 62 to 660 of the family's 3401-position model. Lineage: Eukaryota; Fungi; Ascomycota; Pichiomycetes; Serinales; Debaryomycetaceae. The record is from RNAcentral.
AAACCAACAGGGGAUUGCCUCAGUAACGGCGAGGUGAAGCGGCAAAAGCUCAAAUUUGAAAUCUGGCACNUUUCGGUGUCCGAGUUGUAAUUUGAAGAAGGUAACUUUGGAGUUGGCUCUUGUCUAUGUUCCUUGGAACAGGACGUCACAGAGGGUGAGAAUCCCGUGCGAUGAGAUGUCCAACUCUAUGUAAAGUGCUUUCGAAGAGUCGAGUUGUUUGGGAAUGCAGCUCUAAGUGGGUGGUAAAUUCCAUCUAAAGCUAAAUAUUGGCGAGAGACCGAUAGCGAACAAGUACAGUGAUGGAAAGAUGAAAAGAACUUUGAAAAGAGAGUGAAAAAGUACGUGAAAUUGUUGAAAGGGAAGGGCUUGAGAUCAGACUUGGUAUUUUGCAAGCCUUACCUUCGUGGUGGGGUCCCCUGCAGUUUACUGGGCCAGCAUCGGUUUGGAUGGUAGGAUAAUGACUUGGGAAUGUGGCUUUGCUUCGGUAAAGUGUUAUAGCCCUUGUUGAUACUACCUGUCUAGACCGAGGACUGCGUCUUUGACUAGGAUGCUGGCAUAAUGAUCUUAAGUCGCCCGUCUUGAAAC